Molecule: transfer RNA, 76 nt
Filed under: Kitasatospora xanthocidica
Lineage: Bacteria; Bacillati; Actinomycetota; Actinomycetes; Kitasatosporales; Streptomycetaceae
Description: tRNA-Glu
Source: RNAcentral
UGGUGGUAGCCGGUGGCGAGCGCGGCGGCGGCCUUCUCGGGGCGGCCGACGGUGCCGAUCAGCCGGCCGCCGCCGA